AUUUGAAAUUUGUUCAGCUUCCGCCCUAGCUUCAGACUCUCUCUCCUGUAAACUCUUAAGUUCCUUCUCUAGAGAUUCACGUGUCUCCUUUAAUUUAAUAAUUGGUGCCUGCAUAUCUCGUUUUUGUUCAUAUUCCAGCCUGCAGCAUAAAUUAUUAUUAUUAUGCUCCAAAUUUUCUACAAGGCAUCCAUGUGAGUAAAAUUUAAGAUUGUUCAAUUCAUGCAUGCGAGUCAUUUCUAUUCUAUAUAAUGUUUCAGACAACACGAAACAACUACAUGCAGAUCAAAAAGUGGGACCGUUGCAUUAUGUUUAAAUGACCUGAGGGAGUAACUGUUACUUACUGGUAUUUCAAUUUUGACAUUUGAUUACUCAGGCUUAGCUUCCUCUCCUGUAGUGCUUGAGCAUCUUUAAGUUGCCUCUCUUCAUAUUCACGGAUGUUCUUCACCCCAACUGACUUGCUAAAAUCUUUGUAAAUACGGUCCACAAUCUCAUUUAUUUUUUUCUCAAGAACUCUCACUUCCCGUUCCUUUUUACCAAUACGGGUCUCCAACUAAAGAAAUGAAAAUAGCUAUUGAUGUAAAAGUAAAGUGGAACCUAGCAAAACAACACACGAAAACAUGUAAAAUAUAUCACCUCCUCCUUUACUGGCUCAAGACGAUCGAUCUCUUCCUCUAUAUUACUCUUCUCAGAUUCCAAUCUGCGUAGCUUCUCCCUGAGAUUAUUCUGCACAAAAUAUUCAAUAUUACAAACAAUCAGAAAUGAGAUUCUCUAGGAAUGGCUGAUAAGACACGCAGACAUAAUCGGCUUGGAACUAGAAACAAAAGUGAAUUUGCAUAAGAUCCAUAUUUCAAGCAAAAAGAAAUGAAAGCAACAGUCCAUAAGAAGAUGCUAUCACAUUAUCAUCAAUUCCUCUGUCAUAUUUUCUAGCCAUUUUGACCUAAAGCCAUAUUGAAGAUAUCAUGUUUUGCAGUUACGGAACAGUAGUAACAGACAUCCAUAAAUAAUAAAAAAGAAUAAACCCAGAAAACUGUACAAACGAAAAGAAAACAGGACUCAAGGAAAAAGGGACUAGCCCAGCAACUAUAGAAACAUCAUCAACUAUCAUUGAUGAUAUCUCUUUCAGGGGGCUCAGAAUUUUGGAGCAAGCAUACCAAUGAACUGCCUUUGCCAUACAUUUAUAAGAAAAGUCAUCAACCAGUAUUUGGCUAGAAAUCAAACUUAUGUACCUACCUCUUCAACAUUCAAGUAAUGUAACUUUUUCUCAAGUCCAGUUAUUUUCUCAGACACAGCAAGCUCCUUUCUCUGUAACUCCCUGGG
This 1317-nucleotide small RNA is filed under the name Oryza sativa Japonica Group (Japanese rice). RNAcentral describes it as "sRNA Os12g0641600". Lineage: Eukaryota; Viridiplantae; Streptophyta; Magnoliopsida; Poales; Poaceae. The record is from RNAcentral.